AAAAACAGUCACAUGUACAUAAGUGAAAAUAAAAACAUUUCACAAUUCACAAAAGUAAAAACACAGAUGCUUCACUUGAGAGCUUUCGUUAAAUAAGUGGGGCUGUUGCAGAUGCUCCUAAUCUUUCCACUAUGGUGCUUUCUACUAAGUGUGUCAUGAAUUUUGAACUAACCCUGAGAUGUGAAGGGACUGGAGGAAAUAGCAUCUAAAGACAAUUAAAGUCAACUUUUUCUCAGGGAUUUAGGAAGAGAGAUUCACUUCAAAGCCUCCAAAAUGAUGCAGUCGGGAUCAAAUGGUUUUACAAAGUAGAAUUGAUAAGAGAAAAAGUCAUCAAAGAAUUAAAAUAAAAAGGGGGUAAAUGGGGGGGGGGUAGUAAAACUGCCACAGCUGCCAUCUGCAUCUUCAUUACUUCCAUAAUGGGGAUAGAAUUUUUGAAGUGUGUGUUGUUUUUUGUAAACUGUUCCUCUGGCAAAAUUCUGCAUUUUGAGCAACAUCCGUCUUUCUUGUCUUUGGCAGAGUGGGCUGUGGAUGGAGUUAAAGUUUCAGCAAUCCUAUCUGGAAAAGCACAGCGCUUAUUACACGGCUCAAUUUCCAAUUCUCUCACAGGACGUGCAUCAUGCAGAGAUGUUAUCACCGUGGCAUCACCAGGCUGUGAUGUGGUGAAAUGAAGUGGAUUCUAGACAGACGCAGGCUCCUUUCAUCUGACUGCUCUUAGGGACUUUGUCCAGAUCUGUCAGAAUUCAGAGUUUUAGUGCAUGUUGAUGAACCUGAGGCAAUAUAAAGACGUGCCAAAACACGGCCGAAACACAGGAAUAAGCGAGCAUCUAUUCUAACCGCCCAGUUUUUCUUGUGCUUUGAUAAAAUGCCAGAGAAACGUUUUGCAGCUGGUACCACAUUGUGUCACUCUCCCUACUGCAAUUAUGACAUUUAAACAGAGCUGACGUUUGUUUUAUUUCUGUUUUCUAAAAAGCAGACUUUUGACAAAUGCCAGUCAGCACAGAAACAAUGGACAAUAACGCAACACAACAACAUAAUCAAAUUCCUUCAUGUUUACCAUCCUAUUAUGACCCAAAUACUUCAUCUUUGUUGUGGUUGCUAUAAAACUGGAGUGCUCAAGGAAAAAAGUAGGUCUAUAGGUGCCUUCUAAACAAAACGUCUGGCCUCUAUAAAGUUCAGUGCACGCUGGUGAAUUUGUGUAAAAGCAGACUAAGCAGGAUUACUCGACUGCUGUGGUCACAUGGUCUCACUAUUGCAGGAAAAGUACAGUACAGCGCUUGUUCAGGACUGAGUGCAAUACUUUCAGAACUUAACUUUCAGAAAAAAAAAGAAACAAAAAUGACUUUAACUAUUUGAAAAAGACAGAAAUUCACUUUAUUUCUUCUUUUGGUGCUUUCAGACUCAUUCUUGUCCAGGCACUAUGAAGGCCUGUGCCUAGGUUGAUGUCUGAUUAAGUAAGAGAGCAAAAUUAACUGCCCUCGGAAAGAAGAUAAAAAUUAAGUUGUUUUAUUCUUUCAAGGCACAGUUGUCAAGGCUCCUACCCUUGAAUAUACUGAUAAGAGCAUGAAGUUAUACAUUCAUUUAAGAUCAUCUGCUGGGUUUAGUUUAGUGUGAAGACACAAACAUCCUCACUGGAAAAGAGGAUGAAAUAGACUUUGGAUUAACUAGCCAGCAGGCUACAUCCACACUAUUGUGCUUUCUGUAUAAAAGUGGUGUUUUGCUACAAAAAUGAUUUCUGUCCACACAUAAAUAGUCCCUGUAUGGUCCUGAAACAUGUACGACAUGACCACAUGCUGGAUGUGGAAAUGGUCAGAAAUUGCUUGAAUAACAGCUUGCUUAUGAUGACUGUAGUCAGUAGUAACAUAAGACUAUAACUGCACACCUGCUACUCAAGCAGCACUGACAGAAUGGCCUGGAAAUCAGUUUCCAUGUUGAAUUAACAGCUGGUAAAGGUCAUGUGACUGGCGGGAAUAAAUCAGGGAUGGAUAUGAGGUGUCCAGAGUUUACAAAGUAAAAUAGGGUUGCACAAUGUUUUUGUAGUGGUGUGGAGACAAGAGUGAAAGUUACACCUUUAAACACAUUAGUGUGGAUGUAAGCCUCAGUGUUGUAGCAUGAUGUGUGAAAGGCACACACAAACACAAGCCAACAAAUGGAAAAGUGUUCAUCAUUGUCACCUUACAACCAAAA
Molecule: long non-coding RNA, 2184 nt
Organism: Sphaeramia orbicularis (orbiculate cardinalfish)
Lineage: Eukaryota; Metazoa; Chordata; Actinopteri; Kurtiformes; Apogonidae
Exons: 2
Source: RefSeq, a predicted model, not a curated record